UGGGGAAUUUUGGACAAUGGGGGAAACCCUGAUCCAGCCAUCCCGCGUGUGCGAUGAAGGCCUUCGGGUUGUAAACACUUUUGGCAGGAAAGAAACGUCGUGGGUUAAUACCCCGCGAAACUGACGGUACCUGCAGAAUAAGCACCGGCUAACUACGUGCCAGCAGCCGCGGUAAUACGUAGGGUGCAAGCGUUAAUCGGAAUUACUGGGCGUAAAGCGUGCGCAGGCGGUUCGGAAAGAAAGAUGUGAAAUCCCAGAGCUUAACUUUGGAACUGCAUUUUUAACUACCGGGCUAGAGUGUGUCAGAGGGAGGUGGAAUUCCGCGUGUAGCAGUGAAAUGCGUAGAUAUGCGGAGGAACACCGAUGGCGAAGGCAGCCUCCUGGGAUAACACUGACGCUCAUGCACGAAAGCGUGGGGAGCAAACAGGAUUAGAUACCCUGGUAGUCCACGCCCUAAACGAUGUCAACUAGCUGUUGGGGUCUUCGGACCUUGGUAGCGCAGCUAACGCGUGAAGUUGACCGCCUGGGGAGUACGGUCGCAAGAUUAAAACUCAAAUGAAUUGAC
This 565-nucleotide ribosomal RNA is filed under the name uncultured bacterium. Its description in RNAcentral is "partial 16S ribosomal RNA". It matches the Rfam family "Bacterial small subunit ribosomal RNA", at positions 355 to 914 of the family's 1533-position model. The record is from RNAcentral.